RNAcentral lists this ribosomal RNA (480 nucleotides) under uncultured bacterium. RNAcentral's name for it is "partial 16S ribosomal RNA". It matches the Rfam family "Bacterial small subunit ribosomal RNA", at positions 28 to 507 of the family's 1533-position model. The record is from RNAcentral.
GACGAACGCUGGCGGCGCGCUUAACACAUGCAAGUCGAGCGAUGAAACUUUAACAGCACCCUUCGGGGCGAAGCUAAAGUGGAUUAGCGGCGGACGGGUGAGUAACCCGUGAGUAACCUGCCAUAGACAUUGGGAUAGCCUCGGGACACCGGGAUUAAUACCAAAUAAAAUCAUAAUGACACAUGUCAUAACGAUCAAAACUCGGGUGGUCUAGGAUGGACUUGCGUCCCAUUAGCUAGUUGGUAGAGUAACAGCCUACCAAUGCGACGACGGGUAGCCGGGAUGAGAGGGUGAGCGGCGACAUCGGAAGUAAGAAGCAGUAGGGACUCCUACGGGAGGCAGCAGUGGGGGAUAGUGCACAAUGGCGGGAACUAUGAUGCAGCGACGACGCGUGAACGAAGUAGGCUUUCGAGUCGUAAAGUUCAUUUAUCUGGGCAGAUAAUGACGGUACCAUAAGAGAAAGCCACGGCUAACUACGUG